AAGGGAGGUUGUUUGUUUCACUGGGACGUUCCCCACUCCCGGACCGGGAAAGUUGUAAAUAUGGGGACGAUCAGGGCACAUUUGCUGUUAGUUGUAUUGUUUCCGCCUCCCCACUAGCUACGGCUCCACUCCCGGGCGAGGCCUGUCACCGACCAGCAGUCGCUCCGCUCAGCCCGGAGCUCUCCUAAUCCCCGAGCUCAAGUAGAUUCCGCUGGCCCGCGGCCUGCACUCUCCGCCGGGCCUACGCCUCCCCGGCCGCCCAGCAGGAGCCCAGUCCCCGCCACCGGAGCCGGCCGGGAGAGGGUACAAAACCACCGCUACCCAAGGCGGCUGCCACCAGAGAGGAGCGAACUCUAGACUCGCCUGUGGAAGAGACCUGGGGCCGCUAAGGAAACGGCGGGGAGGGGAGCGAGGAGGAGAGACGCUGAGGACCUGGCGCCGGCGCCGCCGCCGCCGCCGCCGAAAUAAAGAGCAGGAAUUUACCUGGGCGAAUCGGCGUCUGAAUCCAAGGGGAGGCCGAGGCCGCUGUGGCGAGAGACUAUAAUCCGGGCCGGGAGGGGGGGUGGCUACGGCUCCUCUUCCGUCUCCUCAGUGCGGGGAACAUGUAGAGCCGGGGGGAGACCAGCCGAGAAGACAAAUCGUUGCUUCUUCUUCCUCCUCCUCCUCCUUCUCCCACAUAGAAACACUCACAAACACCCGACCACGGGCCCGAGCUACCGGGGGGGCAUCGCCGCGGGCCCGGGAACCAAUUCUCCUGUCGGCGGGGGCGUCCCUCCCUGCGGCUUGGUGGUGUCGGAACAAAAUGCCGACCGGAAGUGCAGCUGCAGGAAUGACUCCCUCCGCCGGCGCCAAACACUAACAACCACCCCCUCUUCCCCACUCCACUUCCGCCACCGCCGCAGCCGCCGCUGCCGCCACUUGGGCUCGCGUCCUCGGCCGCGCCGCGCGGCACCCGGGCCCAGCAGCCGGGAGGCGGCAGCUCUCCUCUACGCCCGUCCCCUCAGGGCGGCUGUGGAUGUUGCCAGUAUUGUCGAUGCUUCAGAGCGACGUUUGCCCUGCGACACAGGCGGGCCGGCUCUCCUCUGUCUUUAUUUUCCUGGAGGCCGACAGGAGCGGGGCCCGAGUUCGGUGGUGGUCGUGAGCGUGGGGGGCACUCAGGCCCGGACGGGCUCUCAGGUCGCCGACGGCGGCGGCUGGAGGCCGCGCUGGCUGUCCCAGGUCGUCGUUAGCUUUAGGGAGCCGAUCUCCGGGCGGCCCCACAGAGGACGCCCGCGAUUCGAUGGCGAUGAUGCCCGUUUUAAAUGGUGUCCCUGCAGCCGGGUGGAUGGAUGGAUCGUACACCUUGCCUUUUGAGAGCCGGGACCUUACGCCCGACUGCGUGUUAUUUCUGCGAAUAAGAACGCAACCUUUGGAGGUGAAGACGACUGUCGGCUGGAUUGAAUUGGAAUCGUGUUUGUGAUGAUGCGUUUAUUUCUGGAAAUACGCGGUCUCCGCUGCUUUUGCUUUUUGUCGGCAGAGGUUUGGGUUCUUCUCUAACGGUCAGGAUAAAGGCCUGUAGGCGACGCUGCGCGAGCGAGAAGCUCGCCCGCGGCUGCCCGGGCGCCCCCCUCUAGGUGUGGGUGGAGCCGAGCGCGCGGGGAGAACCGCCGGCCCCGACUCAGCCACCGGUGACUGCGGGCGACCCGCGGGCCUGCGGCCAGCUGAUUUCAAACAUCGUUUUCCUCUUUAGGUUCGGAAAACUGAGGCGCUGGACAAGGCUGGAAUACAAUAUGUGAUUAUACGUACAGUACUAUGGUUGUUGUAGUUUUUAAAUUGUAAAACAAGAAGUAACCAUUGUUCCACCGUUCUCUAUUAAGUUUGUGUAAAUUAAAAAGGGGCUAUUUUCGGUAAAAAGUGCAGUAGGUAAGCGGAAUUUUACUCAACCGGGACGAAAUUCGUGUUAUAUGAAUUGUAUUGUGUAUUUGUGUGUGUACCAGUGCGCUAAAAGUAAGUAGGAAAACUUGCUUAGAUUAUUCCUUUUGCCUCAGGCCACUCAGGGGGCCAAGAUCCUGUCACUCCUUUUCUCUAGGCCCUGCGAAUGGCUUCCCGUCUUGAGGGGAGUGAGCCAAAGCCUUGACUGCGGCAGAAGUCCCCGCGCGCCGUUGAGGGUGGGGGCGGGCCUGCCCUGGCAUCCUUGCGAGUAGGACUCUUCCCUGAGCGUCGUCCACAGGGCUUGCUCCUUCACCUUCAGGAUUUUGCUCGUGUCACUCGGUGCUUCCGCGGCUACUUUUAAACUGAAAGUUCCCUAGCCCCCUUCUCAUUUUAUCCUUUGGACAGUCUACAUAUCCAUACUUGUUUAUCUUCUUAUCUCUCCUUCCCCAGUGCAAUGUAAGCUCUAAGAGGACAAGAGGUUGUGUUUUUCUGCACUGGUGUUACGGCCCCCGCCUAGAAUGCCACACAGUAGAUGCGUAGUAUGUGGUUAAGGAAUGAAUGCGAUUAUAAGGGCCUUGAUGCUCCCCCAUUUCUGUCUUUAAUAUGUACUUAUAUGCUACAGAGAGCUUUAUAAAAGAUUUAAAACACGUUUAUUACAGAAUUCUAUAAAAAUAUAUUGCUUCUAAACAUUGGAAAGCCCUCCACAACACCAGAAACCCACAAAUGAGGGAUAAAAUUUGUUUUUAGGCUUCUGUAAAUGAGCAUGCCCGAGGACAGUGCAUCAAAUGAUCAUAUCCAUACUGGGCCGAUUAUGUUUGCUCUUCUGAGUCUCAAACUGCAUUCUUCAUCUUGUCGUCCUCUGUCUUUCAAAAUACAUUAAAAGUGAGAAUUUGGUUGGCUCAGAGCAAAUCCAGCACUAUUGGAAAAGUUCAUUCAGCAAGUAUUUAUUGGGCACAAAUGGGUACCAGGCACGCUAAUUCAAAAGGUGUGUGUUUCUGAGGCUAGAAGGCCUUACAUAAAGGACCACAUGUGGCUACUUUGGUUGCUACUCAAUUAUGCUGUCAAGCAAAGCAAAUGCUAGUGAAAUUUAUUUUUAGUUUUCUUCUGAAGAAAAGGUUCAAUGAAAGCUGAGGUCAGGCUUGGUGUGGAUAUUUUAAUUCACCAUUUAGUUUGCUGUUUGCUUACACUUAGGUUAGCAUUAGAUAUACUUAAUCAUGAUUUUUGAGUACUAUAAAACGUGAGAAAUCUUAUUUCCUAGUGGCUGGAAAAACAGGCUUUUUAAAUUAAAAUAAGUAAAUAUAUCAGUAAGCUAGAAGCUAUGCAAUAAGGCUUUGGCUAUGGUAUUACAAAUUUUCAUAUUUCAUGUAUUGAAUUUUUGGACAAGAAAAGACAGCCUUGAUAGGUAUUUUAUAACCAUUAAUACAAUUAAUCAAACAUUGUUUAGUAAAUCCAAUCGUCUAUUCAUUAUUAUUUUUCCCAUUAAUCUUCAGAACAGCUUUAAGUUAAUACAGAUGACUCAGAAUGUGUUUUUCACUCAGUUUCAAAAUACCAUUAUUUCAAUUCGCUAAUAGAAGCACAAUUAUCUUCUUGUCUGCUUUCUUAAAUGUUACUGGUAAACUAGUAAUUUUGCAUGUCCAGGUAACUGCAGCUGCUACAGUCAAUCUGCUUUGGAAAGUCUUGGCAUUAUUGUGUCAUUUAAUUUAAAAUUUUUAAGUUUUUUUAGUUUCUUCCCUUAUUGAGGACUUAUUAGGCGCUAAUUAGCUUUAUGCUAGACAUCUCAUGCAUGGCAGUGAAUGAAAACAACACUGCCUUUGAGGGUUUUAACUUGUAUAUAGUUUAUACCAUUUUUUUUCCAGGUUAUAGAAUCAAAGAAAUUGUUUCAAUUCAUAUCACAGUAUUUCUCUAUUAAAUCAAAUGGUAUUUUGCUUGCAUAAAUUUAAGUAUCCAAGUUGAGAUCUUACAUAGAAUCUGUUAAUCUAAUAUUAGUGUUUUCUUCAUUUCAUUGUCUUGGGUUUUUUUUUCUUAAUAAUUAUUUUUCCCAAUACCAUCCAUUUGUUUUGCUCUUACAUUUUUAAGUCUUUUAUGUUCCAAAUCAGGUGACUUACAUCCUCCACUUGUCCAUUGAGGAUAGCCCAGUAAACCUUUAUUCUGACUUUAAAUUGCCUCCUUGCUUCAAGAACUGAGUUGCAUGACUCAGUUUUCUUUGCUAGAAAUAUCCCUGGAUAGUCUCGUAUGUAUUCUUGAUCAAUGAAUUGCAGAAGAUUUGAUUAAAAAUUUUAAAUGGAUUUCAGGGAUAAACUAUUUGUAUCAAAUGUCAUCACCAGGAAUUUCUACAACUGAAAAAUUUGAAUUGUUAUUUUUAUUGAAGAAUAUUUAUCUUUAAGAUAAAUGCAACUUGCUAUAAAAUGAUAGAAAUGAAAAAUUUUAGAAAAUCAUUUUCUACUCACUAUUUUAUGCCUGCCAGUUAUCCUUUGUUAGUGAUAAAAUUGUCUUUUAUGGGAACGAAUUUGUUAAAGGUAGAAAAAAAACUGGUAGUGUAUGUAUGUUUUAUAGAUUAGACACUACCAAAAUUAUUUAACAUUUAGAAUAAUUAACUUGCUUUCAGGAUGACAGAUGACUUAAGAAACUGAUGAAGGGUUAAUUAAGGAUAUUGAUUUUUAGGGCAGAACUACAAAAUUAUCAAAUCACUUAACACUGUAAAUAUGUUCCUGUUUCAGGUUUUCAAAGUAAAUACCUUAAUCAAAUUUGGAAAUAGUAUUUAUGGAUUUUAUUCAACAUAGAUUAUCUAUUUUGUUAAAAUUAUAGAAAUGAACAGUUCUUUUCCCAUGGAUGCCUUUUUUCAUCUUGGCCUAUUCUGAUCCUUUAAGAACAAGCUUUGUCCUUUCAUUAAUACUUCUCACCUAUAAUUACGAAUUUUCUCUAAACUUGUAGAUUUUAUUAUCCAUGCCAUCUAUUUAUAAUCCUAUGACACUCCUAUAUUGUUUAUGGUUUUUUUGUUUUUUUUUGUUUUUUUUUUUAGACGAAGUCUUGCUCUGUCACCCAGGCUGGAGUGCAGUGGUGCAAUCUCGGCUCACUGCAAGCUCCGCCUCCCGGUUCACGCCAUGCUUCUGCCUCAGCCUCCCCAGUACCUGGGACUACAGGCGCCCACCACCACGCCCGGCUAAUUUUUUGUACUUUUAGUAGAGAUGGGGUUUCACCGUGUUAGCCAGGAUGGUCUCCAUCUCCUGACCUCGUGAUCCCCCGGCCUCGGCCUCCCAAAGUGUUGGGAUUACAGGCGUGAGCCACUGUGCCUGGCCUUACUGUUUAUGUUUUCAUGCAUCUAUACCUUAUGUUACUAAAUCAAAGUGACCAGUUCCACAUUAUACUACAAGUUUCACUGUGUAAUGCAUAAGAAUUACACAGAGGGAAGGGCCUCAAAAAAUGCACUUCUGAAGUAUUUUAAUGUAAAAUUAUUUAAGACCAUAAAGUUUCAUGAAAGCCUAAUCUUUCUGGAACCUACACAUACUCUGCAUGUGAACCAGAGUUAAACUAGUCAAGUAUUUUAAUACUGAACUAAUCUGGAAAAACAUCAUUUAAAAAAUUACUGUAUUUAUGAAGGAAGAAUAUAAAAUCUGUUAAAAACUUAAAACAUCUAAAAUAGGUAUGAAGAGAGGCUUAUGGUGCUCAUUUUAACAGCAUUCUUGAGUAGGUUACCUUGCAGUCAAAGCAUCUGCUCCAGACCAGUGUUUUAAACUGUGGAUUAUGGUACCACUAUGGGUCAUGAAAUUAAUUUAUUGCAUUAUGACUAGCAUUUUUUAUUUAAAAUAGAGAAAAGAAUAGAAAAUAAAAGCGUACAUCACAGAUGGUAAGGGUAUGUGUUUUUAAGUAAACAUUUGUUCAUGUGUAUAUGUGUUAGAUUACCUUGUAAAACAUAUUCCUUAUUGUGGGUUACAGGCCAAAAAAAGUGUUUGUUUUUGUUUUUAAAAAUCUACAGUUCAGAUUUUCCUUAGAAAAUGGGGAAAAAAGGAAUGUUAGAAAGAUCUGACUGCCUAUGAACUAGUGAAGGAUUUUAGAGGAAGUACCAGGCUAUUUUAGAGAUCUGAUACUGGUUUCAGAAAGGUAAUCUUAAGGCAAAGGGUAGGAAAUAAAGUUAUGUUGUUAGUAGAAAUGUCAAAUACGGUUAAAGUUGUGAGGAGGAAUUAUUUUCCUAGUGGACCUACAUUUGUUGUGUGUAGAUCUGUGACUAUUACUGAUCUGUUGUAGCACAUUUUCCAAUCUAAAAUGUCCGAUACAGCACAAUAAUAAACAUGGGGCAGAAUAUAUGUUUGUUUCUAUUUCUUCCCACCUUCCCUUCAAUCUUAAAACAAGUGUUUAUUAAUAAGUCAGACCAAAGCAAAUUUCUAUCUUUCACAGAGUAAUUAUCAUAGGAACAAAUUACUCCCUGAAAAUGGUGGAAACUUCUUUCUCCCUCCGAAAAAUAAACUUUCAAUAAGUGUUUUCUCUCUAGCCAAAGUAAAUAAGUUCUUAAAUAGGUAACUCUCAUUUGCCAUCCAACUCAUUCUAUAUAUUUAAAUAAAUGUACUUACACUUGUGUAUAGGAUUUAAAAGGGGGAAACUUAAGAAGGAAGAAAUUGUGUAUAGAAUUUAAAAAGGAGGCAUUAUAUUGCAUGAGUAGAAUGAAAAGUAUCUAACCAGAAAGCAAAUAAGUUAAGGAUUAUAUUAUACUGAAAUAUUUUAAUACAAUUUAAAUAUUUCAUUACUCUUUCACUUUAUUUGCUAUUUGUAGAUUUCAGUAUUGUAAUGUUGGCAAGUCUAUUUAAGACGGCAUUAAUAAAAAUUUUGUUUUUCAGGCAUGUGAUACCAAGUCCCUUUCCAUUAUAGAUAAGUAAGGCCUAGGUUGGUUAAAACCUUAGCUAAACACAAAAUUUGCUAGAGAAUCAACAUAUAAGAAGCUCUAACUCCAAGCUUAUUCACCCCAGAUAUUUCACCAAUGUUAACACAUACCCUAUUGAACUAAGAAAGGAAUUAUAUUACUAACCAGCAGAGGGAGCCAAGUCAAUCAUGAAAGGUAGGAGUAUAAAGGAACAUCAUAUGACUUCCUGUUUUGAAUUUAACUGUAUGGCCCCUGCUCACUUUUUGAGUUUACCAAAAAGACAGUCAUAAGGAGAGAAAGGCGACCAAUGUAUCAAAUAAGGAUACAGUGACAAUUAUAACUUAGAAUUACCUUGCAGGAAAUAAAUUGGAAGAAAAAUUGAAUGCAGAACUAUACAAGUGAAAUGUCUCAGUAUUAUAACCCAAGAUGGAAAAACCAUGGAAAACAGUACCUUAAUGCCAUGAUGAAUUGCUAGCCAAAUGUAACAGUGAAUAUUUCUUAAUAAUUCCAUUUUCACUUAAAGUUGAAAUUAGGCCAUAAAUAGACACAUUUUAAAACUAUAAAGUUGUACAUCAAAUUUAUGUGCAUUUAAUCUAAGAAAUAAGGGA
Molecule: long non-coding RNA, 7371 nt
Filed under: Homo sapiens (human)
Lineage: Eukaryota; Metazoa; Chordata; Mammalia; Primates; Hominidae
Description: LHRI_LNC1029.1
Source: RNAcentral